This 433-nucleotide ribosomal RNA is filed under the name uncultured bacterium. RNAcentral's name for it is "partial 16S ribosomal RNA". It matches the Rfam family "Bacterial small subunit ribosomal RNA", at positions 29 to 507 of the family's 1533-position model. The record is from RNAcentral.
AACGAACGCUGGCGGCAUGCCUAACACAUGCAAGUCGAACGAGACCUUCGGGUCUAGUGGCGCACGGGUGCGUAACGCGUGGGAACCUGCCCUUAGGUUCGGAAUAACUCCCCGAAAGGGGUGCUAAUACCGGAUAAUGUCUUCGGACCAAAGAUUUAUCGCCAUUGGAUGGGCCCGCGUUGGAUUAGCUAGUUGGUAGGGUAAAAGCCUACCAAGGCGACGAUCCAUAGCUGGUCUGAGAGGAUGAUCAGCCACACUGGGACUGAGACACGGCCCAGACUCCUACGGGAGGCAGCAGUGGGGAAUAUUGGACAAUGGGCGAGAGCCUGAUCCAGCAAUGCCGCGUGAGUGAUGAAGGCCUUAGAGUUGUAAAGCUCGUUUACCCGGGAUGAUAAUGACAGUACCGGGAGAAUAAGCUCCGGCUAACUCCGUG